Mandrillus leucophaeus (drill) is the source of this 3643-nucleotide RNA transcript. It is a transcript of the gene named ribosome biogenesis protein BMS1 homolog, with no coding region annotated. The transcript is spliced from 21 exons. Lineage: Eukaryota; Metazoa; Chordata; Mammalia; Primates; Cercopithecidae. The record is from RefSeq and is a predicted model, not a curated record.
AUGGGGUCCACAGAAAGACAACUGGGAAACCUUCACCACAAGACCAGUGAUGAGAGUGAAAUCCAUGACAAAGCAGUCAGUGAGCAGGAGGAAGCAAGUCCUCAGGCUCAUGAUGGUGGGGUCAUGCAGAGGCUUGCAAAUGGUCAGGCACUGAUCCAGAGACAUCACAGCUCAGCAACACCCACUGGUCUUAACCUACAAGAAAGAGAUAUAGGGAACAUGGAGUUUUUAGGGGAGCACAAGAUCAAGUCAUUUAACUGCCUGAGGAGAAGACUGGAGAGAAUAGCAGAGUGGACCAGCAAGUUGAAGAAACACAGAAAGAAAAAUAGUGGGUCCAAAGCUGAAAAGAAAAAGAAGUGGCAUCUGCAGGAUCUCCAGGUAGGGGAUGAAGAAGAUGCUGCGAAGAGAAAUCCCAAAGCUGUUGCAGUUCAGUCCGCUGUGCAGAUGGCUCAAUCCUUUCACAGGACUCAGGAUUUGAAGACAAAACACAUCAUAUUCCAGUGGUUGAUUGAACUCCACUAGAGCCCCCAUCAAUAGUGGCAGUGGUGACGGGGCCUCCAAAGUUGGAAAGAGCACUUUGAUAUAAUGCCUCAUUCCGAACUUCACCUGGUAGAAGUUGACCGAGAUCAGAGGCCUUGUGACGAUCAUGUCAGGUAAAAAGUGCAGACUCACCAUUAUUGAAUGUGGGUGUGACAUUAACGUGAUAGUUUAUCUGGCUAAAGCAGCAGAUCUGGUACUGAUGCUUACAGAUGGCAGCUUUGGGUUUGAAAUGGAAACGUUUGAGUUUCUAAACAUCUGUCAAGUACAUGGCUUUCCUAAAAUUAUGGGAGUCCUCACCCACCUUGACUCCUUCAAGCAUAAUAAACAACUGAACAAGACGAAGAAGCAAUUAAAACACAGGUUCUGGAUAGAAGUUUACCCUGGUGCCAAGCUGUUCUACCUUUCUGGAAUGGUGCAUGGAGAAUAUCAAAACCAAGAAAUCCACAAUCUGGGCCAUUUUAUUACAGUUGUGAAGUUUAGGCCUCUCACAUGGCAAACUUCUCACCCUUAUAUCCUGGCAGACAGGAUGGAAGAUUUGACAAACCCAGAGGAUAUCCGAACAAACAUCAAAUGUGACCGGCAGGUGUCACUUUAUGGUUAUUUAAGAGGAGCACACUUGAAAAAUAAAAGCCAAAUUCACAUGCCAGGUAUUCUCUUGGUAGGAGAUUUUGCCAUGAGUGACAUCGGUUUCCUCUCAGACCCUUGUGCUCUUCCUGAACAACAAAAGAAGCGCUGUUUAAAUGAGAAGGAGAAGCUGGUUUAUGUGCCUCUUUCUGGGGUUGGGCGUAUGCUGUAUGACAAAGAUGCUGUCUAUGUUGCCUUGGUGGCAGCCACGGUUUUCAGGACGAGGUGGGGCCCAUCCAUGAGCUGGUCCAGAGUCUCAUCUCCACCAUCUCCACCACUGAUGCCAAGAUGGCUUCAAGUCGGGUGACGCUGUUUGCUGGUUCCAAGCCACUUGGGUCAGAGGAUAUAGAUAAUCAAGGGCUGUUGAUGUCAAAGGAGGAAAAACAAACGGACUUAAAAACUGGGCGAAUGCGUCAGAAAGCCAUUUUUGGAGACGAAGAUGAAUCUGGAGAUAGUGAUGAUGAAGAAGAUGAUGAAAUAUCUGAAGAUGAUGGGUUGGAAAAUGGCUCUAGUGAUGAGGAAGCAGAAGAGGAGCAAAAUGCUGAGAUGACUGAUCAGUAUAUGACUGGUAAGAGCAUCAAACGAUGGAAACUUGAAGAGUUGGAAGAAGACAGUGAAAUGGAUUUGCCAGCAUUUGCUGACAGUGAUGAUGACCUUGAGAGGAGCUCAGCGGAAGAAGGGGAAGUGGAGGAAGCUGAUGAAAGCAGUGAAGAAGAGGACUGCACUGCAGGAGAGGGGGGCAUUUCAGGAUCAAAGGCUGUUGGAGAAGGUAGUAAAGCAGGGCUGUCGCCAGCUAAUCGCCAGAGUGACCGUGUGAAUCUGAAGUGUUUGCCGAUGAAGAAAGCAGCCCUCAUGACUUCCGAUUCUGGGCAUUACACAGCUGAAGAGGCAUUUGCAUUGGAAGAUAAAUCUAAAGAAAGCUCCUCACUCAGUGCAGAGGAAGAGGACUCAGAAAAUGACGAGGCUAUUAGAAAAAAGUUUUCAAAGCCUUCUCAAGUGAGCAGUGGUCAGAAACUGGGGUCAAGGAACUUAAUUGAUGAGACCAGUGAUAUAGAAGAUUUACUCAAAGAGGAAGAAGAUUACAAGGAAGAAAAUAAUGAUUCCAAAGAAACUUCAGGUGCCCUCAAGUGGAAGGAAGACCUUUCCAGAAGGGCUUUCUGAGGCAGCAGCAAGCAGCUCCAAACCUCUGAAAGCUUAUUUACGGGACCGUGGCAGAAGAUAACGAAGAAGAAGAUCAUGAUACCCAAGAAGAGCUUGCAGGGUUGUUUCACGUCAACCAGCCUGACAGAGACUGGAAGCACAAGGCUGACUCUUUGGACCACUCCAGAUUUCUUGUGGAGGCCCCCCAUGACUGGGAUUUAGAGGAAGCUAUGAACAGUCUCAGAGAUUGUUUCGUGACUGGAAAGUGGGAAGAUGAAAAAGAUGCAGCCAAGGUCUUAGCAGAAGAUGAGGAAUUCUAUGGUGGUUUUGAAGACUUGGAAACAGGGGACGUGCACAAGGGAAAAUCAGACCCCGAUACUCAGAAUGAAGAUGUAGAGAAAGAAGUUAAGGAAGAAAUUGACCCCAACAAAGAGGAAAGUGCCACGAAAAAGAAUUUGGAUAAGAAGAGUAAAUUGAAGGAGAUGUUUGAUGCAGAUUAUGAUGAAGGAAAAAGCACAUAUUUUGAUGAUCUUAAAGGAGAAAUGCAGAAACAAGCACAGCUGAAUCAUGCAGAAUUUGAAGAUCAAGAUGAUGAAGCCAGAGUUCGGUAUGAGGGUUUUCGACCUGGGAUGUACGUCCGCGUUGAGAUUGAAAAUGUUCCCUAUGAAUUUGUGCAGAACUGACCCCCAUUACCCCAUUAUCCUGGGUGGCUUGGGCAACAGUGAGGGAAAUGUUGGAUACUUGCAGAUGCGUCUGAAGAAACAUCGCUGGUAUAGGAAAUCCUCAAGUCCUGAGAUCCAGUCAUAUUUUCUGUAGGGUGGAGGAGGUUUCAGACCAUCCCACUCUAUUAUAUCGAAGACCACAAUGGAAGACAAAGGCUUCUAAAGUAUACCCCACAGCACAUGCAUUGCGGAGCAGCCUUUUGGGGCCCUAUCACUCCACAGGGAACUGGUUUCUUGGCAAUACAGUCUAUCAGUGGCAUAAUGCCUGAUUUUCGGAUAGCUGCCACAGGAGUUGUCCUUGAUCUGGAUAAAUCCAUAAAAAUUGUGAAGAAAUUAAAGCUAACUGGUUUUCCAUAUAAAAUUUUCAAGAAUACUUCAUUUAUUAAGGGAAUGUUUAAUUCUGCCUUGGAAGUGGCCAAAUUUGAAGGUGCUGUGAUUCGAACUGUCAGUGGGAUAAGGGGGCAGAUCAAGAAAGCGCUCCGAGCUCCAGAAAGCGCUUUCCGGGCCAGCUUUGAGGAUAAACUGCUGAUGAGUGGUGAGUGUCUUGAGUAGUGUUCAGGGCAGGGUGUUACCAUUCAUGCUUGACCUCUAGCUAGUGUGAUGAGAGGCUGGAGUCA